This is a long non-coding RNA of Peromyscus californicus insignis, 3863 nucleotides long. RefSeq lists it as uncharacterized. The record is from RefSeq and is a predicted model, not a curated record. NCBI's taxonomy places the organism in Eukaryota, Metazoa, Chordata, Mammalia, Rodentia, Cricetidae. The transcript has 2 exons.
GGCUGGGGGGGAGAGGGUUGAAGGGAAGAGGGUGAGAAGCGGGGUGGAAGUGGAGGGUCUGAGAACGGGAGCGGGGAGAAUGGGAGGGUACUUAGAGGUCCUGUUCCCCCCUCUUACAACGCAGGCGCAGUCCUGAUGAGGCCCCCCAAGGUGGGUCUGUGGCUCCUUCCUGCCGUGGACUUUCCGGCAGUCAGCCACAUCCGGCUUCCUUUAACCGGAGGACCGCCUCGGGACCACAGCGUGGUUUAGGUUCUGGCUAUCCGGUACCAGUGGCCCUGAGCAGGGCGAUGGGCACCCGAGAUUUGGCUUUGCGUCAGUCCGCUUGGUAGUCUAGUGUUUUCUGUUUCUAAGGGCAGUCAUUCCCCAACCUUAACCGAACGAAGGCUUUGUGUUCCUGUGCCCUGGCAGUUAGCAGAAGCUUCUCCCAUUCCUGUAAGCCUCAAGUCCUCCGGUUGACAAAGAGGUUGUUAGAACGUGGGACCUGCUCAGAACUCAGAAGUGGGUACCAGAGUUUACCCUAACACCAGCCUAAGUCCUUGUCCCUGGGGGCACAGCACACACAGUGGCCUUGAGACGCCCUUCCUGCCCCCCCCCCCCCCAGAGUGCCCACCUUCUACAACAGUGCCAAGGCGUUGGUGAGAAGAUGGCCUGUCCCCCGGAGGCAAGCCAGCCUGGGUAGCUUGAGCAAGGCCUGGCAGGCAGGGUCACACAGGACUGUCUCCUGGAACAUUAAGAUGUAAGGCAACUUUCCCCCCACAAUCCCUGACUUUCAGAAAGUCAGGAGGUAAGGUCUGGGAGCCAUGCUCUUGGCUGAGAACAGUACAUUCCCUCUCCUCCCAGCAGGAGCAUUGAGCUGUGGUCUUGGAGACUGCUCCAGCUCUAUUGGUGGGUUUUCUCUAGGGCGAGUCCCCAGGACCUCCUGGGGGUGUGAGUUAGCUGUGACCUGAACUCCAUGUGCUCUCGUGGCCACUCCUGUCAUGUUUAUUAGUACAAGGCCAUUUUGGGUUUCAGAUGAAAGACAGUAUUCGAGGUUAAAAGAAAAACCGGAGGGAAGCAGCCCUCCCGCCUGUGGCCUGCCGCAGGGUGAGCUAGUGGAAGGGCCCCUGUGUCUCCUUCAAACCCACAGUGCUUUCUGAGAGGGGCUCUGCUCCGUGCUCUGAGAACAGCAGCCUGUGCGUAGAUCUUACUGGAGAUAAAACUACCGGCAUAAGGUCGAGUUGACAGUUUCCCCCAGGUGUCUGGUUUUUGAGGCAGCGUCUCACUGUAUAGCCCAAGCUAACCUCAAACGCAGGGUCCUGCCUGAGCCGUCCUAGCGCUGGGAUUGCAGGUACGCGCUGUCCUGACUUCCCCUUCAUGGCGAACUUGGGAGAUGGGGGUGGGGCUGGGGCGCAGAGAAAAAUCCCAGGCAGACAGUUGAAGGGCUGUCUGUUUUGUAGUGGUUCUUAGGAGCCCAAGCUUUAUGCCAGAGGCUUCUGUUUCAUGCUCAGAGGCCUUCUGAGCCUGGUUGAUAGAACCUGUGUAGAUGGAAGGAGUCCUUUCCUUCUGCCUUUCCUGGAAAAGCAGCGGUUCCUGUCCUGAGUCAGCUGUCAUGAGACCUACAGGCACAGGCCCUCAGCAACCGACUGUCGAGGGUUUGAGCAUCUGUAUGUACCUAAGACUAUUCAUUUGUGUCAGAAACUGCCUCAAUUCUGUGAACUUGCCAAAUAGACACUUUCCUCACUUUGGACCAGCAUGGAAGUAUCAGGGCCACAUCUGGGCCCUUCAAAUCAGACUGGCUGAGGAGCUGUAGGAAAGGGCAGAGGAGAAACAAAAAGCCUCCCGGGGCAAGCGAAGCAGUGUCGUCCGUCAGCCUCUUGCAGACACUUUAAGGAAAGUGAUAGCAGUACAAGGCAGAGAGUAGGAAAUUCUAGAUGGAGGCACAGGCUGGCUCCUCUGGGUCAGGGAGGGGAGCGGCGGGGGGGAGGAGUUGCAGAUGGACACAGUAUCCGGAGGUGGAAAGGGACUGUUACCACCACCCUGGGAAAGCUGCCACUGGAACUGAUACAGACCUGUGGUCAUCCGAGCUCUCAGCUGCUAAGUGCGUGGAAAGACGUGGCUGUAGUGGGAGAGGGAAGUGGUCGUCCCCAGAGCCGGAGGAAACGGCCUCAUUGAGUCAUGUGUGCGACCGUUACUGACUGUCGGGCAUUGGGGUGGGCGUUGACUGGAGCUCUGUUCCCAAAAUGGUCUGUCCCUGUGAGGAGAGAGCCAGAAGAGAACAUGAGAAUGAGAUGCACCGUCACACAGUCAGACGGUGUGGGGAGCAGGAGGAAGUGUGGAGCCCUUCCCUCUCCAUUGUUAAAGCAGGAUGUGGGCCUUCUUGGUGGUGGGCAGGACUACACCAAAGGACAGCACAGGGGAGGGAAGCCCUCAGUCUCUUGUCCAGGUAGCUGUGAUUGGAGAGAUGUUUGAUUCUACCUACUUCCCAGCCACCGUGGUUUCAACUCAAGCUGAGUACGACAGCUCAUGGCUGAUCUCAGUGCUCUGGAGGCUGGGGCAGGAGGACCACUGAGUUUGAGGUCAGCUUUAGCAGCAGAGUAGAGGACAAAGGAUGUAGCUCAGUUGGUAAGAGUGCUUGCUUAGCAUGCACAGAACCCUGCUUUAGACUCCCAGCACCCCAUAAACUGUAUGUACCCGGUGGCACACACCUAUAAUCCCCAUACUGAGAAGGUAGAAGCAGAAGGAUCAGAAGUUCAAGGACAUCCUCAGCAUCAUAAUUAUCUCAAGGCUAGCUUAAAGCAGAUUCAUCGAUUUUUAUAACCCUGUUCCUUUGAAAUAUGAAUCUUCUAGCCAGCAGGGAACCUCUGCCGUUCUCUGCAAUGCUGGAGAAUGGACCCAGGGCCUUGUGCAUUCUCUUUUCUCUGGACAUGCUCUACCACUCAGCUACCACCGCAGCCUAAGCUCCUGGUUCUGCAGCUCAGGAUGGUGGGCAUGAUGACCCAGCCACAAUACCUUGCAGUUUUUCAAAGAAAUGAACACCAGUGCCAUUCCACAGACAUUUUGUCAUCUGUACAAUGUCAAGGAAGUAAAGGUUUGUGGACAAAGCAGGAAAGAUCAAAUAUGGGAUAAUGUAGAUCCUAGUGACAACAGAUCCUGUGACAAAGCCGAGAGGCACCCUACUCAGCAUCAGGGUCUACACUGGUAGGACCUCUGAAUGUGGUCCCAGAUGCUCUUUUUGAAGCUGAGGGGGUAGGGGAUGAGCACGGGACUGCACAACACGUGGAAGACUGUCUGCUGAACUCUGCCUAGUAAUUUACAUUGCUGGUAUCACCUACCUACCUGAAGAUGGGAGGAAAUACACUGGCCUCCUAUCAGAAGGGGAGCUGGAAGAUGGGAUCCUCGCUGACUCUACCUGUGCUCUUCCUCUGCCUUCUAGCUCUUCUACCGUGAAGUUCUGGCUUCCUCUCAUACACAGGACUUGAACUUGUCUCUCUUGGUCCUUCAGGUGCGGACAUUGUGUAAAGAGAGGAUGCUGGGCCCUUCCCUUGCUGGCCGCUUUAAUAAGUUAGUUGAUGAUAUCUACUACGUAAACAGGAUUCUCCCUGCUUCCUUCCUCUGCACAGAGAACUCCCUGGGAAUCACACAAGAAGAGGUGUAGGAAACUGGGAAGUGUGGGGUCUGUCCCCAACCACGGUAACAUGUAGUCUGAGGACCAGAGCACAUCUGCAGGGUAACCAAUGCUUUAAACACAUGUCUGGACAGCACUCAUGAGAGACCACCAAAGCGGCCAUGCUUGCCUAAACUGGCAGCUGUCAGUAACACACCACUGAACUGAUGACUCCCAUGAUCCACUUCUUCCCACUUCUCAUUAGCACUACUUUAAUUCA